RNAcentral lists this ribosomal RNA (581 nucleotides) under bacterium SA010. RNAcentral's name for it is "bacterial SSU rRNA". It matches the Rfam family "Bacterial small subunit ribosomal RNA", at positions 80 to 657 of the family's 1533-position model. The record is from RNAcentral.
UACUGUGGGUGGCGAGUGGCGGACGGGUGAGGAAUGCAUCGGAAUCUGCCUAUUUGUGGGGGAUAACGUAGGGAAACUUACGCUAAUACCGCAUACGUCCUACGGGAGAAAGUGGGGGACCUUCGGGCCUCACGCAGAUAGAUGAGCCGAUGCCGGAUUAGCUAGUUGGCGGGGUAAAGGCCCACCAAGGCGACGAUCCGUAGCUGGUCUGAGAGGAUGAUCAGCCACACUGGAACUGAGACACGGUCCAGACUCCUACGGGAGGCAGCAGUGGGGAAUAUUGGACAAUGGGCGCAAGCCUGAUCCAGCCAUGCCGCGUGUGUGAAGAAGGCCUUCGGGUUGUAAAGCACUUUUGUCCGGAAAGAAAAGCUUCGGGUUAAUAACCCGGAGUUAUGACGGUACCGGAAGAAUAAGCACCGGCUAACUUCGUGCCAGCAGCCGCGGUAAUACGAAGGGUGCAAGCGUUACUCGGAAUUACUGGGCGUAAAGCGUGCGUAGGUGGUUUGUUAAGUCUGAUGUGAAAGCCCUGGGCUCAACCUGGGAACUGCAUUGGAAACUGGCUGACUAGAGUGCGGUAGAGG